This 541-nucleotide ribosomal RNA is filed under the name Curvularia affinis. RNAcentral's name for it is "eukaryotic LSU rRNA". The stretch from base 166 to 319 matches the Rfam family "5.8S ribosomal RNA". Lineage: Eukaryota; Fungi; Ascomycota; Dothideomycetes; Pleosporales; Pleosporaceae. The record is from RNAcentral.
UGAAGGCUGCACCGCCAGUUGGCGGCAAGGCUGGAGUAUUUUAUUACCCUUGUCUUUUGCGCACUUGUUGUUUCCUGGGCGGGUUCGCCCGCCACCAGGACCACAUGAUAAACCUUUUUUAUGCAGUUGCAAUCAGCGUCAGUACAACAAAUGUAAAUCAUUUACAACUUUCAACAACGGAUCUCUUGGUUCUGGCAUCGAUGAAGAACGCAGCGAAAUGCGAUACGUAGUGUGAAUUGCAGAAUUCAGUGAAUCAUCGAAUCUUUGAACGCACAUUGCGCCCUUUGGUAUUCCAAAGGGCAUGCCUGUUCGAGCGUCAUUUGUACCCUCAAGCUUUGCUUGGUGUUGGGCGUUUUGUCUUUGGUUGCCAAAGACUCGCCUUAAAACGAUUGGCAGCCGGCCUACUGGUUUCGCAGCGCAGCACAUUUUUGCGCUUGCAAUCAGCAAAAGAGGACGGCACUCCAUCAAGACUCUUUAUCACUUUUGACCUCGGAUCAGGUAGGGAUACCCGCUGAACUUAAGCAUAUCAAUAAGCGGAGGA